RNAcentral lists this ribosomal RNA (500 nucleotides) under uncultured bacterium. RNAcentral describes it as "partial 16S ribosomal RNA". It matches the Rfam family "Bacterial small subunit ribosomal RNA", at positions 28 to 507 of the family's 1533-position model. The record is from RNAcentral.
GACGAACGCUGGCGGCGUGCUUAACACAUGCAAGUCGAACGGAAAGGCCUGCUUUCCCUUGUGGAUUGCGGGUACUCGAGUGGCGAACGGGUGAGUAACACGUGAGUGAUCUGCCCCCAACUUGGGUAUAAGCCUGGGAAACUGGGUCUAAUUCCCGAUAGGACUGCAGGGUGGUGCCUGUGGUGGAAAACGAUUUUCUAGUGGUUGGGGAUGAGCUCGCGGCCUAUCAGCUUGUUGGUGGGGUAAUGGCCUACCAAGGCGGCGACGGGUAGCCGGUCUGAGAGGAGGAGGAGUGACGGCCGCAUUGAGACACGGUCCAGGCUCCGACGCGAAGGGGCGGCGGGGGAGGUGAGAAUAGGGGAGUGGGCCGGAGCCAGCUGCGGCGAGGGCGCGAGGGGGAUGUCGGCCUUGGGGAUGUAAACUCCUUGCGAGGGAGAGGAGUCAACCUGGUUGGAGGUGUUGUGACGGUAGUGGUAGAAGAAGCACCGGCUAACUACGUG